AUGCAGUCGAGCGGAGAUGAGGUGCUUGCACCUUAUCUUAGCGGCGGACGGGUGAGUAAUGCUUAGGAAUCUGCCUAUUAGUGGGGGACAACAUUCCGAAAGGAAUGCUAAUACCGCAUACGCCCUACGGGGGAAAGCAGGGGAUCUUCGGACCUUGCGCUAAUAGAUGAGCCUAAGUCGGAUUAGCUAGUUGGUGGGGUAAAGGCCUACCAAGGCGACGAUCUGUAGCGGGUCUGAGAGGAUGAUCCGCCACACUGGGACUGAGACACGGCCCAGACUCCUACGGGAGGCAGCAGUGGGGAAUAUUGGACAAUGGGCGGAAGCCUGAUCCAGCCAUGCCGCGUGUGUGAAGAAGGCCUUUUGGUUGUAAAGCACUUUAAGCGAGGAGGAGGCUACUUAGAUUAAUACUCUAGGAUAGUGGACGUUACUCGCAGAAUAAGCACCGGCUAACUCUGUGCCAGCAGCCGCGGUAAUACAGAGGGUGCGAGCGUUAAUCGGAUUUACUGGGCGUAAAGCGUGCGUAGGCGGCUGAUUAAGUCGGAUGUGAAAUCCCUGAGCUUAACUUAGGAAUUGCAUUCGAUACUGGUCAGCUAGAGUAUGGGAGAGGAUGGUAGAAUUCCAGGUGUAGCGGUGAAAUGCGUAGAGAUCUGGAGGAAUACCGAUGGCGAAGCAGCCAUCUGGCCUAAUACUGACGCUGAGGUACGAAAGCAUGGGGAGCAAACAGGAUUAG
RNAcentral lists this ribosomal RNA (730 nucleotides) under Acinetobacter sp. Its description in RNAcentral is "bacterial SSU rRNA". It matches the Rfam family "Bacterial small subunit ribosomal RNA", at positions 55 to 781 of the family's 1533-position model. The record is from RNAcentral. Lineage: Bacteria; Pseudomonadati; Pseudomonadota; Gammaproteobacteria; Moraxellales; Moraxellaceae.